This 75-nucleotide transfer RNA is filed under the name Candidatus Moranbacteria bacterium CG_4_9_14_3_um_filter_42_9. RNAcentral's name for it is "tRNA-Thr". It matches the Rfam family "tRNA". Rfam says of the family: Transfer RNA (tRNA) molecules are approximately 80 nucleotides in length. Their secondary structure includes four short double-helical elements and three loops (D, anti-codon, and T loops). The record is from RNAcentral. Lineage: Bacteria; Candidatus Moraniibacteriota.
GCCCACGUAGCUCAGUGGUAGAGCAGCGCAUUCGUAACGCGCAGGUCGUCGGUUCAAGCCCGACCGUGGGCUCAA